AUUGUUUUCUGUUUAUGUGUUCACGGGCUUUGCAUUUGGCUGAAAAAUCGUUUAGGGUUGCGUACUUCAUCUUCCAGAUUCUUCAUCGACUGAGACGGUCCCAAUUCCUAAGUUUCGUUUCUCAAACUCGAUCUCUUCGACUCCUCCACGUUCAGUACCGAUAUGUGUUCCUGUAACGGAUUUUCCAGCCUCCUUUAUAUAGAGUUCCUCGAAGGAGUUGGUCGAUCGAUAUGAUUUCAGGUUUUGGAUUGAUCAUGAUUUGGGUGGUGGUCGAUCGAUACGAUUUCUACCCGAGCUAAAUUUCCGUAGUUGACAGAUCACCGAUCAUGGCGAACCUAUAACACUUUCAUCACCAAAAGCGAAGGAGUAACAGAAAGUCAUCCGCUAGCUUCCCAGUCUGCUGCAACUGAUGUCGAUCAGCUUAUCUCGGCGUGUUUAUCAUAAUCAAUGUGAUCACAUUCUCUGGGUUCUUGAUCUUCCCUUUCAUCAGAUUUAUCACCGUCAAAUCCUUUGAAAUCUUCUCAGAGCUUUCUACCUUAGUCAAACCAGAGCUUAUUCUUAACCCUUACUCUUUCUAACGUUUUCACAGCGAAAUGACUACACCAAAAUGAAAUUGAGCUAAACACAGUCUAUUGGCAACACUAUCAUCACCAUGGGUGGUAUCAAAAGUAGUCAUUGACGUCCUAAUGCGAUUUUCGACGAUUAAGGGACGUAAUCCGAGUCAGAAAGCUGCGAUUCCAUAUAAAAUGAAAACAAGACCAGGACCAGGACCAGGACCAGACAGAAAAAUCAAUAGUCUCCCCAAACUAAAGCCAAAACACCGUCAAUCGUUUCCCGUUGCAGCUAAGAACCAGAGAGAUGCGGAGGAUCAGUUCACUGUACGGUGAAUUGGACUUCUUAAGAGAGCACCCGAAAAACCUUCGAAGAAAUCUUAUACGUUCCUGGUAUCUCUCUCCUUCACUACGAACGGUGGCUAAGGCGAUGGCAGUGAGUUUCAGCAGAAUAGCUCCAGUCAAGAUAUCUGAUCCUGAUCUCAAUUUUAUACCCUGACCAAGCAGCGUGGCUGUCUCACCACAAAAUGACUCCUUUGUUGACGCCGUUGCAGACUGCGUAGAGGGAUACAUUUUGUCUUGGGGAAGUCAGAACAUGGAUUCCAUUGGCUGAUCGUGGCAAAGGUCUUUUCAAUGCAGAAGAGUUUGAGAGUAAAAUUGACAAGGAGACUACUUUUUAAAAGUUCAGUCUAUGGAGGUAGUAAAGAAAGACAUAUAUGUACUUUGAUGCAUUUUCAACUCUGUUUUACCAUAAAAAUGCAGAUGACGAGUUAUAUGUAGCGCUGGGUGUGGUUAUCGCUUGUUGUGUUCUUAUAACCGCUGGGUGUGGUUUUUGUAUUCUUAUACAAUCGGGAACUUGUUUUAAUCGAUGUGUUUCGGGUUUUGUUCUU
Long non-coding RNA from Brassica oleracea var. oleracea, 1441 nucleotides. RefSeq lists it as uncharacterized. The record is from RefSeq and is a predicted model, not a curated record. NCBI's taxonomy places the organism in Eukaryota, Viridiplantae, Streptophyta, Magnoliopsida, Brassicales, Brassicaceae. The transcript is spliced from 5 exons.